CCUACGGGGGGCAGCAGUGAGGAAUAUUGGUCAAUGGACGAGAGUCUGAACCAGCCAAGUAGCGUGAAGGAUGACUGCCCUAUGGGUUGUAAACUUCUUUUAUAUGGGAAUAAAAUGUUCCACGUGUGGGAUUUUGUAUGUACCAUAUGAAUAAGGAUCGGCUAACUCCGUGCCAGCAGCCGCGGUAAUACGGAGGAUCCGAGCGUUAUCCGGAUUUAUUGGGUUUAAAGGGAGCGUAGGUGGAUUGUUAAGUCAGUUGUGAAAGUUUGCGGCUCAACCGUAAAAUUGCAGUUGAAACUGGCAGUCUUGAGUACAGUAGAGGUGGGCGGAAUGCGUGGUGGAGCGGGGAAAGGCUUAGAUAACACGAAGAACUCCGAUUGCGAAGGCAGUUCACUGGACUGCAACUGACACUGAGGCUCGAAAGUGUGGGUAUCAAACAGGAUUAGAUACCCCUGUAGUC
RNAcentral lists this ribosomal RNA (460 nucleotides) under uncultured bacterium. Its description in RNAcentral is "partial 16S ribosomal RNA". It matches the Rfam family "Bacterial small subunit ribosomal RNA", at positions 338 to 795 of the family's 1533-position model. The record is from RNAcentral.